RNAcentral lists this long non-coding RNA (238 nucleotides) under Ananas comosus (pineapple). Its description in RNAcentral is "long non-coding RNA (ACOM_LNC005439)". Lineage: Eukaryota; Viridiplantae; Streptophyta; Magnoliopsida; Poales; Bromeliaceae. The record is from RNAcentral.
UCGCCCGAGAGGUGCGAAAGUUGAGGAAUCGAGAAAUCCCCUAUGUGAAGGUUAGGUGGAGCAAUCAUGACGAUCGCGAAGCCACCUGGGAACUCGAGGAUCUGAUGAGAAAACACCAUCCUCACCUAUUUGAGGAGUAAGGUACGGAUUUGAAUUAAAAUAAAGAAUUGGUUCGUUUCGAGGACGAAACUCCUUUUAAGGAGGGGAGGAUGUAAGGAAGUGAAUUCUCGAAAUACGA